RNAcentral lists this ribosomal RNA (497 nucleotides) under uncultured bacterium. Its description in RNAcentral is "partial 16S ribosomal RNA". It matches the Rfam family "Bacterial small subunit ribosomal RNA", at positions 28 to 507 of the family's 1533-position model. The record is from RNAcentral.
GAUGAACGCUGGCGGCGUGCCUAAUACAUGCAAGUCGAGCGAACAGACGAGGAGCUUGCUCCUCUGACGUUAGCGGCGGACGGGUGAGUAACACGUGGAUAACCUACCUAUAAGACUGGGAUAACUUCGGGAAACCGGAUCUAAUACCGGAUAAUAUAUUGAACCGCAUGGUUCAAUAGUUAAAUACGGUUUUUCUGUCUCUUAUCGAUUGUUCCACGCCGCAUUAGCUAGUUGGUAAGGUAACGGCUUACCAAGGCAACGAUGCGUAGCCGACCUGAGAGGGUGAUCGGCCACACUGGAACUGAGACACGGUCCAGACUCCUACGGGAGGCAGCAGUAGGGAAUCUUCCGCAAUGGGCGAAAGCAUGACGGAGCAACGCCGCGUGAGUGAUGAAGGUCUUCGGAUCGUAAAACUCUGUUAUUAGGGAAGAAAAAAUGUGUAAGUAACUAUGCACGUAUUGACGGUACCUAAUCAGAAAGCCACGGCUAACUACGUG